CCUACGGGUGGCAGCAGUGGGGAAUAUUGCACAAUGGGGGAAACCCUGAUGCAGCGACGCCGCGUGAGUGAAGAAGUAUUUCGGUAUGUAAAGCUCUAUCAGCAGGGAAGAGAAUGACGGUACCUGAGUAAGAAGCCCCGGCUAACUACGUGCCAGCAGCCGCGGUAAUACGUAGGGGGCAAGCGUUAUCCGGAUUUACUGGGUGUAAAGGGAGCGUAGACGGCGAAGAAAGUCUGACGUGAAAGCCCGCGGCUCAACCGCGGAACUGCUUUGGAAACUUUUUUGCUGGAGUACCGGAGAGGUAAGCGGAAUUCCUAGUGUAGCGGUGAAAUGCGUAGAUAUCAGGAGGAACACCGGCGGCGAAGGCGGCCUGCUGGACUGAAACUGACGUUGAGGCUCGAAAGCGUGGGGAGCAAACAGGAUUAGAUACCCUUGUAGUC
Molecule: ribosomal RNA, 440 nt
Filed under: uncultured bacterium
Lineage: Bacteria
Description: partial 16S ribosomal RNA
Rfam family: Bacterial small subunit ribosomal RNA
Source: RNAcentral